Molecule: transfer RNA, 87 nt
Filed under: Burkholderiales bacterium
Lineage: Bacteria; Pseudomonadati; Pseudomonadota; Betaproteobacteria; Burkholderiales
Description: tRNA-Leu
Rfam family: tRNA
About the family: Transfer RNA (tRNA) molecules are approximately 80 nucleotides in length. Their secondary structure includes four short double-helical elements and three loops (D, anti-codon, and T loops).
Source: RNAcentral
GCGGACGUGGCGAAAUUGGUAGACGCACCUGGUUUAGGUCCAGACGCCUUCACCGGCAUGUCAGUUCGACUCUGACCGUCCGCACCA